GAGACUCUUCUCCAGAGUGAACAAACAAUCCAGUUCCCUCAGCCACUCCUUAUAAGAAUUGUGUUCCAGAACCCUCACAGCUCUGUUGCCCCUCUUCUGAACAUGCUUCAGGGCCUCAGCGUCCUUCCUGUAGUGAGGAACCCAAAACUCAACACAGCACUCGAGAACAUGAUAUCAGAAACAUCAAAUGAAAGUCCUCCCAGCUUGAGUGAAGAAACAAACAAGCAAACAAAGAAAAACAUAAAAUAACUAAAGUAUCAAGAAGCAUUAAGACUGGCUGGCUUAAUAGUGAUGAACUUCUUGGCCUCCUCCUAGAGAGAUUUCAGUCCAGCUGCCCAACAGAUUCUGCAAGGAAAAGAUGUAAGAGAUGGAAAACAAAAGAAAACCCAUAUCAUCAGAAGAACAGAGAUGUUGCUGGACUUCUAAAGCACGCUGCUAGAACCCAGAGAGACAGAGGCACAGAGGAGGCAGAUAAUCAUCAUAUCCACAGUCCUGAAGUGAGAGGGCUUUUAUCACCACUUUCUGCAUAAAACAAUGAUGAGAGAAAGCUGAAAUGCUCCUACACCCAGGACAAAAAUGUACACUGUCUGGAUUUUCACAUAAUCUGACUUGCAAAUUGCCCAGAAAAAAAAUACAAGCUGGAUAUUCAAUUCCUAAGUUAAAUCCAACAAAAUGUGCAUCUGGGAUUGGUUCGUUUUUCUCAUUUGCAUUCAGUUCUACUCCCAUAAUGAAGUCGAAUAGAUAAAGCAAUAAUGCAAGGAACAAAAAUUGUUUUCUGCAGCAAUUCUGCAGAGUAUUUUCUUUUCUGUUCCCUCCUGGAAUAACAUAACACAUGUGACAUAUGAAGAAUCCUUGCAGAGGCACUUUGGUCUGAAUAAAUUUGGCUUUUGUAAGAAGGGUAACAUCAACACCAAUGAAAAGUAGCAGGAUCUACUAAAACACAGAGUAACUCUGCCACCUCAAUGGAAAAAGACUGUACCCCAAAAAAACAAUGUUCACAAUUACAAAGUAAAAAUUUUGUCUUUUAGAAAAUUACACACUAUUUUCUGAUUGUUGUAAAAGACAGGAUGGCACAAGUAAGCAAAGAGCCAGACUGAAUUCUUUAUACCCCUACCUACAUUGGCAAAUAAUUCCUGGUUCGUGGACUGCAUGUCAGCCGUUCAUUAUUCAGAA
This is a non-coding RNA of Coturnix japonica (Japanese quail), 1173 nucleotides long. Lineage: Eukaryota; Metazoa; Chordata; Aves; Galliformes; Phasianidae. The record is from RefSeq and is a predicted model, not a curated record.